Molecule: ribosomal RNA, 760 nt
Filed under: uncultured bacterium
Lineage: Bacteria
Description: bacterial SSU rRNA
Rfam family: Bacterial small subunit ribosomal RNA
Source: RNAcentral
GAUUGCGAAGGCAGCUUACUAAGGGUUUACUGACGCUGAUGCACGAAAGCGUGGGGAUCAAACAGGAUUAGAUACCCUGGUAGUCCACGCCGUAAACGAUGAUAACUCGCUGUUGGCGAUACACAGUCAGCGGCUUAGCGAAAGCGUUAAGUUAUCCACCUGGGGAGUACGCUCGCAAGAGUGAAACUCAAAGGAAUUGACGGGGGCCCGCACAAGCGGAGGAACAUGUGGUUUAAUUCGAUGAUACGCGAGGAACCUUACCUGGGCUUAAAUGUGCGCUGACCGCCGAAGAAAUUUGGUUUUUCGUAAGAACAGCGUACAAGGUGCUGCAUGGUUGUCGUCAGCUCGUGCCGUGAGGUGUCGGGUUAAGUCCCAUAACGAGCGCAACCCUUAUUGUCAGUUGCUAACAGGUCAAGCUGAGGACUCUGGCGAGACUGCCACCGUAAGGUGUGAGGAAGGUGGGGAUGACGUCAAAUCAGCACGGCCCUUAUGUCCAGGGCUACACACGUGUUACAAUGGCCGAUACAAAGGGCAGCUACCGGGCGACCGGAUGCUAAUCUCGAAAGUCGGUCUCAGUUCGGAUCGGAGUCUGCAACCCGACUCCGUGAAGCUGGAUUCGCUAGUAAUCGCGCAUCAGCCAUGGCGCGGUGAAUACGUUCCCGGGCCUUGUACACACCGCCCGUCAAACCAUGGGAGUUGGGGGUACCUGAAGUAUGUGACCGCGAGGAGCGUCCUAGGGUAAAACCAAUGACUGGGGUUA